Molecule: long non-coding RNA, 2033 nt
Filed under: Solanum tuberosum (potato)
Lineage: Eukaryota; Viridiplantae; Streptophyta; Magnoliopsida; Solanales; Solanaceae
Description: long non-coding RNA (STUB_LNC002941)
Source: RNAcentral
AUUUGCUCGAACCAAAUCUUAAAAUCCUGGCUUGUUGAAGACGGAUCUUAAUAGAUCCGUCCGGGUUAGUUCCUCUUUUUAGAAUUUUCUAUUAUAUAUGUUAAAUUUAUACAUGAAGAAACCAUGAUGUUCAUACAUGUGUAUUCUAGGUGGAUUUCAUUUUUUUUUGUUUUAUGAUUCAUUGUGAGUUUCUGAUCGUUUGAAUAGUCGUACAUUUUAGUUAUGUGAUUUUAGAUUGGUUUAUCACGCUGCCCAGAACUUCAAAAUUGUGUUACAUGCCGGGAUAUACUAUACUUUAUGAUCGUUGAGAAUAAAUGCUAAUACUGAUAAGAGUUUCUCGUAAAGGAUAAAAUCGACAAAGAUUUACACCCAAUUUUGACCGACCUAUAACCAAUUUCGGAAAUGCUAUUCGAUUAAAUACUUAUUUUCAAAUAUAUUUCAAGUUUAAAAUUUUAGUCAAUUUUAUCUAAAAAUUAUACAUUCAGUAUGCUUGAUUUGUAAGAAAUAUUAAAUUAUUUUAUUAUUAUACUUAUCGAUAGUUAAACUCGAAAUAAUUACUUUAUUUAAAUAUUUUAAAAUCUUAGAUGUGUUCAAUUAUAUGAAGAUAUUUUAAUAUGUGUAGUAUUUUUUAUUAAUUGAAUAGCAUUUUUCUUAAUUUUCCUCGAAAUUGUUUAAAUUGUAGCCUAUUAUUUUCUAAUUUCUUUCAAUUUUAGCCACCUCAAUUUUAUUUCAAUUACAACCACCUUUUCAUUUCAAUUCUAGUCAUAUGCAUUUCAAUUCUAGCCAUUCCAAUUCUUCAAUUCAAUCUGAUUUUAAUUUUCAGCUUUUAAUCCUAACCGUCCAUCAUUUAAGUUAAACCCUAAAUCAAUACUAGCCGCUCAUCUAAUUUCUUUUAACGGAUGAGAUUAAAUCAAUUAUUUUUUUCCUAUUCUAAUUAUCAAAAACACCAACCCUAACAUAAUGAUUUUUCUUUCCUCUCUCCCUCUCUAGCAGUCGCCUCUCUCUCUCUCUCCUUCCCAUCCGUCUCCGGCGAAAAUCGCCACCACCAAGAGGCAGCCGCUGGUCUCCAUCUCUCCCCUCGCCUCUUCUCCGUUCUCUCCUCUCUCAGCUAGCAGCAACAACAACUGCUCAGACCAGCAGCUCCGUCCGGCGACCAGCAGCACCAGUAGCAGCCACAACCAGCGAGCAGCAGCUCCAACCGGCGAGGACAGCCACCAGCAGUUCCAGCCGGUGACAACAACUCCACCGGACAACAGGUCACCGACAAGGAGAAGCAGCAGCUCCGACAACCAACAGCAACAGCAAGCACCGAACAGGUCUGGCAAACUCCAGCAGCAAACAACUCCGGCCAGCGACUGGUGAAGCCAUCGCGAAGAGAAGCUCCGGAAACGAAGGCGACAACAACGACGUUGCUCGAACCAGCGUGCUCCGGCGAGAUGGAACACCUUGGACAGCAUUUGCUCGAACCAAAUCUUAAAAUCCUGGCUUGUUGAAGACGGAUCUUAAUAGAUCCGUCCGGGUUAGUUCCUCUUUUUAGAAUUUUCUAUUAUAUAUGUUAAAUUUAUACAUGAAGAAACCAUGAUGUUCAUACAUGUGUAUUCUAGGUGGAUUUCAUUUUUUUUUGUUUUAUGAUUCAUUGUGAGUUUCUGAUCGUUUGAAUAGUCGUACAUUUUAGUUAUGUGAUUUUAGAUUGGUUUAUCACGCUGCCCAGAACUUCAAAAUUGUGUUACAUGCCGGGAUAUACUAUACUUUAUGAUCGUUGAGAAUAAAUGCUAAUACUGAUAAGAGUUUCUCGUAAAGGAUAAAAUCGACAAAGAUUUGAUCUCCUAUGAUUUUGUUGGUAGUUGGAUCAUUUGGUAAAUCGAUUAAUAUUGGUGGUUUCUAAUGCUAAACUGCUCAUAAUUCGGUUAUUCCAUUUAUGAAGAUUUGUAGAUUGUCUUGCUAAAGGCUCGAUUUAAUAGUAUAAUGGUAAUCGAUUUUAGUAUUAACUUAUUAAUAUAUGGAUGUUAAUAUUUAACUGUAGUGUUCCUCCC